UGGUGGAUAGAAUUUAAGAGUAGGAGUAAAGAGCAAAUGACAUGAUGUUACACACUCUUGUACAGUAGGUGGCAGUAUGCACCUUAAAGUUGGUUGCGAUCCGCCAGAAACCGAGAGAAGAAGAAGAAGAAGAAGAAGAAGAAGAAGGAUACAGAGAUUUACUGAAGGAGGGAGAGCAGGUGAUUGCUCUGCUUUAUUGUCAUCAUAAACUGAUAAUUAAGCGCCUAGCCAGUACAGGAACAAGCUCUUACGGUGUUUAAAGAAGAAAGGUGUUUAAGGAAGAAAGGUGUUUUCUGAAGGAAGGAUAUUACAGAAAGCAAAGUGAAUUUGUGUUCAAAAUAUGGCUGACGGCUGAACAUAAAUAAAAGGCUUCUGAACGCUUCACCAUUGUCUGGCUGGGGUUCGCUACAACUGGCGAUACUCCAUAUCUCAGUUAUGUGAACAGAAUGUGUGUUGUUUUCCCACGGUUCUUCAAACAAGUUCCUGAGUCAAGUCAAGUCAAUUUUAUUUGUAUAGCCCAAAAUCACAAAUCACAAAUUUGCCUCGGGGGGCUUCACAAUCUGUACAGGAUACGUCAUCCUCUGUCCUUGACAUUGCAACCCUCACAUUGGAUAGGGAAAAACUUAACCAAAAAAAAAAAAAACCUCUGAAAUGGAAUGAUUAGUGAAAUAUGUCAGACAUUAAUUAUGAUUAUGCUUUUAUAAAUGGAAAUAAAACAU
Molecule: long non-coding RNA, 719 nt
Organism: Sebastes umbrosus (honeycomb rockfish)
Lineage: Eukaryota; Metazoa; Chordata; Actinopteri; Perciformes; Sebastidae
Exons: 2
Source: RefSeq, a predicted model, not a curated record